AUUUUCCUCUUUUUUUGUGGCACAGAUGUUUUAAAAAAUUGAAGUCUGUUUUCAGUAGCCAUCAUUUAUAGAUGGGUAUUUUAUUUUUGGAAUCCAGUGACUAUCAUGUAAACCAAAGUCACUUCUGUAAAGUCAUUUUGAUCAGAUUUAUUGUGACAAAAGUGUCUUUUAAAAGGAAAUAAUCUGCAUGCAUGAUUGUUUUUAACCAAUGUCAGGUCCCAGGAAAAUAUAAUUAAAAUAAUUGUGUAGUUAGGUCCUUUCUGAGAUAAUCCCUUCUGAAUGUUAAUUCAUGUAAUGUAGGGGCUGUGCUUUCAUAGGACUGCUCCCAUGGUAACUUGGGGGCUUUGAAAAAGAAGGUGGCAGGGUUCCAGGAGCAAGUCUGGAAGGACAGCUCCUGGGCCCUAUGUGUGGUUUUGUGGUUGUGGGUGACUUUUGAAAGUUUUGAUGUAUAUACUGAGGAAAACUAGUGCCUUUCAAAGAAAGUUAUUUCUCUCUUAUGAGGAAGAUAAAUAGUAUGUAGUGUUGAGGUGCAUUUGGUUGUCAUUUUUCUGAUUUGUCUAUUUUAAGAUGAUAGAUUUUAGAGUAAUCAAAGUAGAUAUCUUGAAA
This 606-nucleotide long non-coding RNA is filed under the name Bos taurus (domestic cattle). RNAcentral's name for it is "long non-coding RNA NONBTAT022023". Lineage: Eukaryota; Metazoa; Chordata; Mammalia; Artiodactyla; Bovidae. The record is from RNAcentral.